RNAcentral lists this ribosomal RNA (906 nucleotides) under uncultured bacterium. Its description in RNAcentral is "bacterial SSU rRNA". It matches the Rfam family "Bacterial small subunit ribosomal RNA", at positions 10 to 914 of the family's 1533-position model. The record is from RNAcentral.
AGUUUGAUCCUGGCUCAGGAUGAACGCUGGCGGCGUGCCUAAUACAUGCAAGUCGAACGAAUCUCUUUUAGAGAUGAGUGGCGAACGGGUGAGUAAUACAUAGGUAACCUGCCCCUGUGCGGGGGAUAACAGGAGGAAACUCCUGCUAAUACCGCAUAGCCAUGAGCACCGCAUGGAGCUCAUGCCAAAUAUCCUUUAUGGGAUAGCGCAGGGAUGGACCUAUGGCGCAUUAGCUGGUUGGCGGGGCAACGGCCCACCAAGGCAACGAUGCGUAGCCGGCCUGAGAGGGCGGACGGCCACAUUGGGACUGAGACACGGCCCAGACUCCUACGGGAGGCAGCAGUAGGGAAUUUUCGGCAAUGGGGGAAACCCUGACCGAGCAACGCCGCGUGAGCGAAGAAGGCCUUCGGGUCGUAAAGCUCUGUUGUAAAGGAAGAACGGCGCAUACAGGAAAUGGUAUGCGAGUGACGGUACUUUACCAGAAAGCCACGGCUAACUACGUGCCAGCAGCCGCGGUAAUACGUAGGCGGCGAGCGUUAUCCGGAAUCAUUGGGCGUAAAGAGGGAGCAGGCGGCCGCAAGGGUCUGUGGUGAAAGACCGAAGCUAAACUUCGGUAAGCCAUGGAAACCGGGCGGCUAGAGUGCGGAAGAGGAUCGUGGAAUUCCAUGUGUAGCGGUGAAAUGCGUAGAUAUAUGGAGGAACACCAGUGGCGAAGGCGACGGUCUGGGCCGCAACUGACGCUCAUUCCCGAAAGCGUGGGGAGCAAAUAGGAUUAGAUACCCUAGUAGUUCACGCCGUAAACGAUGGUCACUAAGUGUCGGGGGUCAAACCCCGGUGCUGCAGUCAACGCAAUAAGUGACCCGCCUGAGUAGUACGUUCGCAAGAAUGAAACUCAAAGGAAUUGAC